This 270-nucleotide ribosomal RNA is filed under the name uncultured bacterium. RNAcentral's name for it is "partial 16S ribosomal RNA". It matches the Rfam family "Bacterial small subunit ribosomal RNA", at positions 100 to 353 of the family's 1533-position model. The record is from RNAcentral.
CGGGUAGAGUAACACGUAAACAACCUGCCUUCAGGAUGGGGACAACAGACGGAAACGACUGCUAAUACCGAAUAAGUUCCAAGAGCCGCAUGGCCCAUGGAAGAAAAGGUGGCCUCUACCUGUAAGCUAUCGCCUGAAGAGGGGUUUGCGUCUGAUUAGCUGGUUGGAGGGGUAACGGCCCACCAAGGCGACGAUCAGUAGCCGGUCUGGGAGGAUGAACGGCCACACUGGAACUGAGACACGGUCCAGACUCCUACGGGAGGCAGCAUG